Molecule: ribosomal RNA, 464 nt
Filed under: uncultured bacterium
Lineage: Bacteria
Description: partial 16S ribosomal RNA
Rfam family: Bacterial small subunit ribosomal RNA
Source: RNAcentral
GACGAACGCUGGCGGCGUGCUUAACACAUGCAAGUCGAACGGUAAGGCCCCUUCGGGGGUCCUCGAGUGGCGAACGGGUGAGUAACACGUGAGCAACCUGCCCUUGACUUUGGGAUACCAGCUGGAAACAGCUGCCAAUACCGGAUAUGACUUCUUCUCUCAUGGGUUGAGGUGGAAAGCUCCGGGGGUAAGGGAUGGGCUCGCGGCCUAUCAGCUUGUUGGUGGGGUAAGGGCUCACCAAGGCUUCGUCUGGUAGCCCGCCUGGGAGGGGGACCAGCCACACUGGGACUGAGAUACGGCCCAGACUCCUACGGGAGGCAGCAGGGGGGAGUAUUGCACAGUGGGCGCAAGCCUGAUGCAGCAGCGCCGCGUGCGGGAUGACGGCCUUCGGGUUGUAAACCGCUUUCAGUAGGGACGAAGCUAACGUGACGGUACCUACAGAAGAAGGACCGGCUAACUACGUG